UUUAUCAGGCAUUAAUGGCAAGCAAUUUAUAAAAACAACUAAUUAGUAUUUCUUUUGUACAGAAUUAGCUUAAAGCUUAGCUUAGAGAAAACAGAGAGGGAAAAACUCAACAGCACACAAAGCAAACAGAAGCAUCGUAGUUUAUAAACGGGGCCAAGAGGGGAAAAGCUCUCCCACGUUCUCUGAUGUGACAAUCAAAUCCCUCCCCUCCCCACAGGUAUACUUGUUGGGGCCAUGUGUCACUGUUGGCUGGAGCAGGGUAGGCUUACUCCCUCUGAAAUAAUUUCCAUACUCUUUCAGUUAAAGAAAAGCCAGAGCUAGAAAAAGCAGUGAAUAAUCUUUAAGUUUCUUUAAGCUUAAAGUUUCCUAUUUCCCUGUGCCCUCAUAUCUUCAAAUAUCUCACCUUCUUAUUACCAUUUCUUACAACAUAAGCUAUGAGUCCAUAGAAUGUGGAAACUAUAUAAACACCAAUUUCUAAUCUAGUACAGAGUGGGAAGAGACCUGUCCUGUACUGGCAAACACUCAUCUUCAUAUCUUUUCGUGAAACUCUUAGGUCUUCUUGUGGAACCAAGAUAACAGCUACUGCUGCACAGUAACUAUUAUAGUAAAGAACAAAUCUGAUCAUUUUUACAGCUUUCUGCAACAGUCUCACCAACCCCUAACUUCUCCCACCUACCUUUGUUGUUCCUUUAGCCUGAAGCUCAUCUACAGCCUAAAUUUAGCCUAAAGCUCACCUAUAAG
Molecule: long non-coding RNA, 741 nt
Filed under: Bos taurus (domestic cattle)
Lineage: Eukaryota; Metazoa; Chordata; Mammalia; Artiodactyla; Bovidae
Description: long non-coding RNA NONBTAT020271
Source: RNAcentral